GGUGGAUUCCAUGAGAACACUCUUAGAAAGGGCCUUGGUGCAUCGUAAGUGGUCCAUGGAUAUUAGCUGCUGCUGUUUAUAUGCAUUGGCUGUCCACUCUGGGAAAAGAGAUUGCUGGAGAACUUUUAUUUAUUUAUCUUUUUGAGAAAAUAAUGCAACGAUAAUGCCACCUAAUAGCACGUCUUUAUUUUUCAUCUCCAUUUCCAGUACUUAUUUAUGGAGGUCCUAAUCUCAGAAUCCAAAGUCUAGAGAACUUUGCUGUCUUUGAUCUACUCCACUAAUCUGCUGUGUAGAGACUCAGCAGAUGACUGUGAAUGUGGGAUCCACCCUCGCACCCAAGCUGAGGGUAACAAGACUGAGACUUGACAGGCUGAGGAGUGGCAGGUGUCGUUUCUGCUGUCAAAGAGCCUACAGCUGAUGGGUUGAUGGAGCAAACAUUUCCUAAAUUCCUGGAAACCUGUCCAGCUCUGCCAGUACCAAAUAGUGGCC
This is a long non-coding RNA of Grammomys surdaster, 489 nucleotides long. RefSeq lists it as uncharacterized. Lineage: Eukaryota; Metazoa; Chordata; Mammalia; Rodentia; Muridae. The record is from RefSeq and is a predicted model, not a curated record. The transcript is spliced from 3 exons.